GUACUGAGAUGUGUAUAUACAGGUAGACAGGUAGACAGGUGGAUGUGUGUGUGUUGUGUCCUAGCAGCCCUUACAGUAGAGAUACUUGAUACUGUACACCCCAGAGUACUGAGAUGUGUACAUACAGGUAGACAGGUGGAUGUAUGUGUGUUGUGUCCUAGCAGCCCUUACAGUAGAGAUACUUGAUACUGUACACCCCAGAGUACUGAGAUGUGUAUAUACAGGUAGACAGGUAGACAGGUGGAUGUGUGUGUGUUGUGUCCUAGCAGCCCUUACAGUAGAGAUACUUGAUACUGUACACCCCAGAGUACUGAGAUGUGUACAUACAGGUAGACAGGUGGAUGUAUGUGUGUUGUGUCCUAGCAGCCCUUACAGUAG
Molecule: long non-coding RNA, 378 nt
Organism: Haliotis rubra (blacklip abalone)
Lineage: Eukaryota; Metazoa; Mollusca; Gastropoda; Lepetellida; Haliotidae
Exons: 3
Source: RefSeq, a predicted model, not a curated record